GUCUUUUAAUUGAAGUCUAGCAUGAAUGGUUAGAUGAAAAGUUUGCUUUCUUUAUUUUAUAAAUAAAAUUUAAUUUUUAGAUUAAAAAGUCUAAAUUUAUUUAAGGGACGAGAAGACCCUUUAGAGCUUAACUUCCCCCAAAAUUAUUUUCUUUAGGAGAUAAUUUUUUAUUCUUUUAGGGGAAGUUUUAUUGGGGUGAUAAAAAAAACUUUAUAACUUUUUUUAUUUAUUUCACUAUCAGUGUAUUUUUGACCCUUUAUUAUGGUUAAUAAGAUUAAGCUACCUAAGGGAUAACAGCGUUAUUAUUUUGGAUAGUUCUUAUUGAUAAAAUAGUUUGCGACCUCGAUGUUGGAUUAAAAUUAGUGUCAGGGGUAGAAUAUUGAUGACUAGGUCUGUUCGACCUUUAAAUUUUUACA
RNAcentral lists this ribosomal RNA (416 nucleotides) under Kasumiphylus kyushuensis. RNAcentral describes it as "partial large subunit ribosomal RNA". It matches the Rfam family "Archaeal large subunit ribosomal RNA", at positions 2048 to 2669 of the family's 2987-position model. The record is from RNAcentral. Lineage: Eukaryota; Metazoa; Arthropoda; Insecta; Hemiptera; Miridae.